GAUGAAGAACGUAGCGAAAUGCGACAAGUAAUGUGAAUUGCAGAAUUCCGUGAAUCAUCGAGUCUUUGAACGCACAUUGCGCCCCCUGGUAUUCCGGGGGGCAUGCCUGUCCGAGCGUCAUUGCUGCCCUCAAGCACGGCUUGUGUGUUGGGCCCCGCCCCCCGGCUCCCGGGGGGCGGGCCCGAAAGGCAGCGGCGGCACCGCGUCCGGUCCUCGAGCGUAUGGGGCUUCGUCACCCGCUCCGUAGGCCCGGCCGGCGCCCGCCGGCGACCCCCCUCAAUCUUUUCAGGUUGACCUCGGAUCAGGUAGGGAUACCCGCUGAACUUAAGCAUAUCAAUAAGCGGAGGA
Molecule: unclassified non-coding RNA, 348 nt
Filed under: soil metagenome
Description: partial contains 5.8S ribosomal RNA, internal transcribed spacer 2, and large subunit ribosomal RNA
Rfam family: 5.8S ribosomal RNA (bases 1-120)
Source: RNAcentral